Molecule: ribosomal RNA, 516 nt
Filed under: uncultured bacterium
Lineage: Bacteria
Description: partial 16S ribosomal RNA
Rfam family: Bacterial small subunit ribosomal RNA
Source: RNAcentral
GACGAACGCUGGCGGCGUGCCUAACACAUGCAAGUCGAACGGUGUGUUUAUUUAUAAACACUUAGUGGCGAACGGGUGAGUAACGCGUAGACAACCUACCCUCUAGAUGGGGACAACACCGCGAAAGUGGUGCUAAUACCGAAUGUUGUAAUGUUGUUGCAUAAUGAUAUUACUAAAGGUGGCCUCUAUAUAAAAGCUACCGCUAGAAGAUGGGUCUGCGUCUGAUUAGCUAGUUGGUGAGAUAACAGCUCACCAAGGCAAUGAUCAGUAGCCGGUCUGGGAGGAUGAACGGCCUCACUGGGACUGAGACACGGCCCAGACUCCUACGGGAGGCAGCAGUGGGGAAUCUUCCGCAAUGGACGAAAGUCUGACGGGGCAACGCCGCGUGAGUGAAGAAGGUUUUCGGAUCGUAAAGCUCUGUCUUCAAGGACGAAUGUAGAUAUUGUGAAUAAUGAUAUUUAAUGACGGUACUUGAGGAGGAAGCCACGGCUAACUACGUGCCAGCCGCCGCGGUAA